GACGAACGCUUGCGGCGUGCCUAAGAAAUGCAAGUCGAGCGAGGAUUCACGCUGACCGAAGCUUCGGCAGAGGUCUUGUGAAGCCUAGCGGCGAACGGUCGCGUAACACGUAAGCAACCUGCCCUGAAGUGUGGGAUAGCCCUCCGAAAGGAGGAUUAAUACCGCAUGUGGAUACGAUGUCGCAUGGCAACGUAUCUAAAGCAGCAAUGCGCUUCAGGAUGGGCUUGCGGCCUAUCAGCUAGUUGGUGGGGUAACGGCCUACCAAGGCGACGACGGGUAGCUGGUCUGAGAGGAUGGUCAGCCGGAUUGGGACUGAGACACGGCCCAGACUCCUACGGGGGGCAGCAAUUAGGAAUCUUGCGCAAUGGGGGAAACCCGUAGACGCAGCGACGCCGCGUGAGCGAUGAAGUCUUUCGGGUAGUGUAAAGACUCUGUCCUGUGGGAAGGAAGAAUGUGACGGUACCCACAGAGAAAGACCCCGGCCUAACUACGUG
This 494-nucleotide ribosomal RNA is filed under the name uncultured bacterium. RNAcentral's name for it is "bacterial SSU rRNA". It matches the Rfam family "Bacterial small subunit ribosomal RNA", at positions 28 to 507 of the family's 1533-position model. The record is from RNAcentral.